RNAcentral lists this unclassified non-coding RNA (89 nucleotides) under Pseudomonas corrugata. Lineage: Bacteria; Pseudomonadati; Pseudomonadota; Gammaproteobacteria; Pseudomonadales; Pseudomonadaceae. The record is from RNAcentral.
UGUGGGAGCGAGCCUGCUCGCGAAAGCGCUGUGUCAGUCGCCAUCAAUGGGCCUGAUCCACUGAAUUCGCGAGCAGGCUCGCUCCCACA